This 372-nucleotide long non-coding RNA is filed under the name Nicotiana tabacum (common tobacco). Its description in RNAcentral is "long non-coding RNA (NTAB_LNC005593)". The record is from RNAcentral. Lineage: Eukaryota; Viridiplantae; Streptophyta; Magnoliopsida; Solanales; Solanaceae.
GCAGAAAAUUUUGUUUGUUGUGUUGUUUUAAUUGCAGGCACCCACUUGAAAAAUGAAGGGAAAUAUUUCAGAAAUCAAUUUUAGGUUCAAGUCAUUGGCAGGCGCCCACCUGGAGAACGAGGAAAUUUAUUUCAAUUUUAAAGUCAUCAGGCGCCCACCUGGAGAAUGAGGGAAUUUAUUUUAAGUUUUAAGUCAUCACGCGCCCACCUGGAGAACGAGGGAAUUUAUUUCAAGUUUUAAGUCAUCAGGCGCCCACCUGGAGAAUGAGGGAAUUUAUUUCAAGUUUUAAGUCAUCAAAAGCCCACCUGGAGAAUGAGGGAAUUUAUUUCAAGUUUUAAGUCAUCAGGCGCCCACCUAGAGAACGAGGGAAUU